AGCGAACGCUGGCGGCAGGCUUAACACAUGCAAGUCGAGCGGGCCUUUCGGGGUCAGCGGCGGACGGGUGAGUAACGCGUGGGAACGUGCCUUCUGGUUCGGAAUAACCCUGGGAAACUAGGGCUAAUACCGGAUACGCCCUUAUGGGGAAAGGUUUACUGCCGGAAGAUCGGCCCGCGUCUGAUUAGCUAGUUGGUGGGGUAACGGCCUACCAAGGCGACGACCAGUAGCUGGUCUGAGAGGAUGAUCAGCCACACUGGGACUGAGACACGGCCCAGACUCCUACGGGAGGCAGCAGUGGGGAAUAUUGGACAAUGGGCGCAAGCCUGAUCCAGCCAUGCCGCGUGAGUGAUGAAGGCCUUAGGGUUGUAAAGCUCUUUUAUCCGGGACGAUAAUGACGGUACCGGAGGAAUAAGCCCCGGCUAACUUCGUGCCAGCAGCCGCGGUAAUACGAAGGGGGCUAGCGUUGCUCGGAAUCACUGGGCGUAAAGGGCGCGUAGGCGGCGUUUUAAGUCGGGGGUGAAAGCCUGUGGCUCAACCACAGAAUGGCCUUCGAUACUGGGACGCUUGAGUAUGGUAGAGGUUGGUGGAACUGCGAGUGUAGAGGUGAAAUUCGUAGAUAUUCGCAAGAACACCGGUGGCGAAGGCGGCCAACUGGACCAUUACUGACGCUGAGGCGCGAAAGCGUGGGGAGCAAACAGG
Molecule: ribosomal RNA, 702 nt
Filed under: uncultured Methylobacterium sp.
Lineage: Bacteria; Pseudomonadati; Pseudomonadota; Alphaproteobacteria; Hyphomicrobiales; Methylobacteriaceae
Description: bacterial SSU rRNA
Rfam family: Bacterial small subunit ribosomal RNA
Source: RNAcentral